GAGUUUGAUCAUGGCUCAGAUUGAACGCUGGCGGCAUGCCUUACACAUGCAAGUCGAACGGUAACAGGUCUUCGGAUGCUGACGAGUGGCGAACGGGUGAGUAAUGCAUCGGAACGUGCCCGAUCGUGGGGGAUAACGGAGCGAAAGCUUUGCUAAUACCGCAUACGAUCUACGGAUGAAAGCAGGGGACCGCAAGGCCUUGCGCGGACGGAGCGGCCGAUGGCAGAUUAGGUAGUUGGUGGGAGUAAAAGACUUACCAAGCCGACGAUCUGUAGCUGGUCCGAGAGGA
This 289-nucleotide ribosomal RNA is filed under the name uncultured microorganism. Its description in RNAcentral is "partial 16S ribosomal RNA". It matches the Rfam family "Bacterial small subunit ribosomal RNA", at positions 9 to 300 of the family's 1533-position model. The record is from RNAcentral.